This 72-nucleotide transfer RNA is filed under the name Stegodyphus mimosarum. It matches the Rfam family "tRNA". From Rfam's summary of the family: Transfer RNA (tRNA) molecules are approximately 80 nucleotides in length. Their secondary structure includes four short double-helical elements and three loops (D, anti-codon, and T loops). The record is from Rfam by way of RNAcentral. Lineage: Eukaryota; Metazoa; Arthropoda; Arachnida; Araneae; Eresidae.
GCGUCGGUAGUUUAACGGUUAGCGUAGCUACCUUCCAAGCAGUUGCCACGGGUUCGACUCCCGGCCGACGCA